Long non-coding RNA from Mustela erminea (ermine), 735 nucleotides. RefSeq lists it as uncharacterized. The transcript has 3 exons. The record is from RefSeq and is a predicted model, not a curated record. NCBI's taxonomy places the organism in Eukaryota, Metazoa, Chordata, Mammalia, Carnivora, Mustelidae.
GGGGUCCAGUUCCUUGGAGAUGUCGCUGGGAAGUUUUCGAGGCUGGGUGGGCUUCUCAGGGAAUGGUGAGGCGGGAAGGCCAAUGCAGGGGGUACAGUGCUCCCUCCCUGAGAGGGUGUUUCCUUCGAUGCUGAGAGAGAAGGAAAGGUGGCCACCGAGGGGGCCUCCCAGCAUGCAGGAAUCUGGUCCCAGCUGCCUGAGGCUGUGCCAAAAGCCUGGGAUUUACUGCCCUCCCCCGCCACCCACCCCAGCCAGCUGGGGAAAGGGUGUUGAGGGGAAAUGCAUUCCAAAUCAAAAAGGCAUCAGGGCCACCCCUGCCGGCAUCACGAGGUUGGUCUGCAGAGCCGGAGAGAAUCACCUGGGACAGAUCACACCAGAGCCCGAUCUCCAUGGGACAGGUCUGUACAGCGGCAUCUUCAAGAUGCUGAAAUUGGUCACACAGCCUCGAGUCUCAAGGCCCGGACAGAUGUGUUCUAUACACUUGUUUAAACACGGCGCUCAUUAGGAGGCCUGCUCGGAAGUACACAGCUUCCCGUCAGAGAGCCGCCGAGCUGCCUUGGAGGACGUAUUAAUUGUUGUCAGCCUCCAUUUCACACUCCAGAUAACAAACGAGAGCCACCCUGGCAGUGUUUAAGGAAGAUAAACAAGUUGCCUGAGCCCCUGCAAUUAAACACGCUUGCAUAUUUAACUGAGAUGUUUCCUGUAAAAAAAAAAAAAAAAAAAAAGAGGCAGCAC